This 468-nucleotide ribosomal RNA is filed under the name uncultured bacterium. Its description in RNAcentral is "partial 16S ribosomal RNA". It matches the Rfam family "Bacterial small subunit ribosomal RNA", at positions 28 to 507 of the family's 1533-position model. The record is from RNAcentral.
GACGAACGCUGGCGGCGUGCUUAACACAUGCAAGUCGAACGGAAAGGCCCUGCUUUUGUGGGGUGCUCGAGUGGCGAACGGGUGAGUAACACGUGAGUAACCUGCCCUUGACUUUGGGAUAACUUCAGGAAACUGGGGCUAAUACCGUAUAGGAGCUCCUGCUGCAUGGUGGGGGUUGGAAAGUUUCGGCGGUUGGGGAUGGACUCGCGGCUUAUCAGCUUGUUGGUGGGGUAGUGGCUUACCAAGGCUUUGACGGGUAGCUGGCCUGAGAGGGUGAACGGGCACAUUGGGACUGAGAUACGGCCCAGACUGCUACGGGAGGCAGCAGGGGGGAAUAUUGCACAAUGGGAGGAAGCCUGAUGCAGAAACGCCGCGUGCGGGAUGACGGCCUGCGGGUUGUAAACCGCUUUCGCCUGUGACGAAGCGUGAGUGACGGUAAUGGGUAAAGAAGCACCGGCUAACUACGUG